GAACGCUAGCUACAGGCUUAACACAUGCAAGUCGAGGGGCAGCAUGGUCUUAGCUUGCUAAGGCCGAUGGCGACCGGCGCACGGGUGAGUAACGCGUAUCCAACCUGCCUUACACUCUUGGACAGCCUUCUGAAAGGGAGAUUAAUACAAGAUGUUAUCAUGAGUAAGCAUUUUCGCAUGAUUAAAGGUUUACCGGUGUAAGAUGGGGAUGCGUUCCAUUAGAUAGUAGGCGGGGUAACGGCCCACCUAGUCUUCGAUGGAUAGGGGUUCUGAGAGGAAGGUCCCCCACAUUGGAACUGAGACACGGUCCAAACUCCUACGGGAGGCAGCAGUGAGGAAUAUUGGUCAAUGGACGAGAGUCUGAACCAGCCAAGUAGCGUGAAGGAUGAAGGUUCUAUGGAUUGUAAACUUCUUUUAUACGGGAAUAAACGAAUCCACGUGUGGAUUUUUGCAUGUACCGUAUGAAUAAGGAUCGGCUAACUCCGUGCCAGCAGCCGCGGUAAUACGGAGGAUCCGAGCGUUAUCCGGAUUUAUUGGGUUUAAAGGGAGCGUAGAUGGGUUGUUAAGUCAGUUGUGAAAGUUUGCGGCUCAACCGUAAAAUUGCAAUUGAUACUGGCAGUCUUGAGUACAGUUGAGGUAGGCGGAAUUCGUGGUGUAGCGGUGAAAUGCUUAGAUAUCACGAAGAACUCCGAUUGCGAAGGCAGCUUACUAACCUGUAACUGACAUUGAUGCUCGAAAGUGUGGGUAUCAAACAGGAUUAGAUACCCUGGUAGUCCACACGGUAAACGAUGAAUACUCGCUGUAGGCGAUAUACAGUCUGCGGCCAAGCGAAAGCAUUAAGUAUUCCACCCGGGGAGUACGCCGGCAACGGUGAAACUCAAAGGAAUUGACGGGGGCCCGCACAAGCGGAGGAACAUGUGGUUUAAUUCGAUGAUACGCGAGGAACCUUACCCGGGCUUAAAUUGCAACCGAAUAUGGCGGAAACGCUAUAGCUAGCAAUAGCGGUUGUGAAGGUGCUGCAUGGUUGUCGUCAGCUCGUGCCGUGAGGUGUCGGCUUAAGUGCCAUAACGAGCGCAACCCUUGCCGAUAGUUACUAACAGGUCAUGCUGAGGACUCUGUCGGGACUGCCAUCGUAAGAUGUGAGGAAGGUGGGGAUGACGUCAAAUCAGCACGGCCCUUACGUCCGGGGCUACACACGUGUUACAAUGGGGGGUACAGAGGGCUGCUACCACGCAAGUGGAUGCCAAUCCCAAAAACCUCUCUCAGUUCGGAUUGAAGUCUGCAACCCGACUUCAUGAAGCUGGAUUCGCUAGUAAUCGCGCAUCAGCCACGGCGCGGUGAAUACGUUCCCGGGCCUUGUACACACCGCCCGUCAAGCCAUGGGAGCCGGGGGUACCUGAAGUGCGUAACCGCAAGGAGCGCCCUAGGGUAAAACUGGUGACUG
RNAcentral lists this ribosomal RNA (1444 nucleotides) under uncultured organism. RNAcentral's name for it is "SSU rRNA". It matches the Rfam family "Bacterial small subunit ribosomal RNA". The record is from RNAcentral.